RNAcentral lists this ribosomal RNA (461 nucleotides) under uncultured bacterium. Its description in RNAcentral is "partial 16S ribosomal RNA". It matches the Rfam family "Bacterial small subunit ribosomal RNA", at positions 338 to 795 of the family's 1533-position model. The record is from RNAcentral.
CCUACGGGAGGCAGCAGUGAGGAAUAUUGGUCAAUGGGCGGAAGCCUGAACCAGCCAAGUCGCGUGAGGGAAUAAGGCCCUACGGGUCGUAAACCUCUUUUGCCGGGGAGCAAGGGCUGGGACGUGUCCCGGCCCGGAGGGUACCCGGAGAAAAAGCAUCGGCUAACUCCGUGCCAGCAGCCGCGGUAAUACGGGGGAUCCGAGCGUUAUCCGGAUUUAUUGGGUUUAAAGGGAGCGUAGGUGGAUUGUUAAGUCAUGUGUGAAAGUUGGCGGCGCAACCGUAAAAUUGCAGUUGAAACUGGCAGUCUUGAGUACAGGAGAGGUGGGCGGAAUGCGUGGUGUAGCGGUGAAAUGCUUAGAUAUCACGAAGAACUCCGAUUGCGAAGGCAGCUCACUGGACUGCAACUGACACUGAGGCUCGAAAGUGUGGGUAUCAAACAGGAUUAGAUACCCGAGUAGUC